RNAcentral lists this long non-coding RNA (6023 nucleotides) under Homo sapiens (human). RNAcentral describes it as "HSALNT0367591". Lineage: Eukaryota; Metazoa; Chordata; Mammalia; Primates; Hominidae. The record is from RNAcentral.
CAGGAAGAAGGCAGUGAAGCUUGGGGCCAAAAAGGUGUUCAUUGAGGAUGUCAGCAGGGAGUUUGUGGAGGAGUUCAUCUGGCCAGCCAUCCAGUUCAGCGCACUGCAUGAGGACCGCUACCUCCUGGGCACUUCUCUCACCAGGCCCUGCAUCGCCUGCAAACAAGUGGAAAUUGCCCACCGGGAGGGGGCCAAGUAUGUGUCCCAUGGCGUCACGGGAAAGGGGAGCGAUCAGGUCCAGUUUGAGCUCAACUGCUACUCGCUGGCUCCCCAGAUAAAGGUCAUUGCUCCCUGGAGCAUGCCUGAGUUCUACAACCGGUUCAAGGGCCACAACGACCUGAUGGAAUACGCAAAGCACCACGGGAUUCCCAUCCUGGUCACUCCCAAGAACCUGUGGAGCAUGAACAAGAACCUCAUGCACAUCAGCUACGAGGCUGGAAUCCUGGAGAAUCCCAAGAACCAAGCGCCUCCAGGUCUCUACGCGAAGACCCAGGACCCGGCCCCCAACACCCCUGACAUUCUCGAGAUUGAGUUAAAAAAGGGGUCCCCGUGAAGGUGACUGACAUCAAGGAUGGCUCCACCUACCAGACCUCCUUGGAGCUCUUCAUGUACCUGAACGAAGUCGCGGGCAAACACGGCGUGGGCCGUACUGACAUCGUGGAGAACCGCUUUAUUGGAAUGAAGUCUCGAGGUAUCUAGGAGGCCCCGGCAGGCACCAUCCUUUACCACGCUCAUUUAGACAUCAAGGCCUUCACCAUGGACUGGGAAGUGCACAAAAUCAAACAAGGCCUGGGCUUGAAAUUUGCUGAGCUGGUAUAUACCGGUUUCUGGCACAGCACUGAGUGUGAAUUUGCCUGCCACUGCUUCGCCAAGUCCCAGGAGCCAGUGGAAGGGAAAGUGCAGGUGUCUGUCUUCAAGGGCCAGGUGUACAUCCUCGGCCGGUAGUCCCCACUGUCUCUCUACAAUGAAAAGCUGGUGAGCGUGAACAUGCAGGGUGAUUAUGAGCCAAUUGAUGCUACUGGUUUCAUCAACAUCAGUUCCCUCAGGCUGAAGGAAUAUCAUCAUCUCCAGAGCAAGGUCACUGCCAAAUAGACCCCUGUGCAAUGAGGAGCUGGGGCCUCCUCAAUAUGCAGAGCCCCCAAGUACAGGUGCUAAUUGUUGUGACAAUUUGUAAUUGUGACUUGUUCUCCCCGGCUGGCAGCGUAGUGGGGCUGCCAGGCCCCAGCUUUGUUUCCUGGUCCCCUUGAAGCCUGCAAACGUCAUCGUUGAAGGGAAGGGUGUGGGUCAGCUGCAGUGGGGAGCUAUAAAAUGACAAUUAAAAGAUAACAACUCCCCCCCGCAAAAAAUGCUUAAUUUGGACAGUAAACUUAGUAACCCUAUCUCUAAUUCUUCCAACGUAAGUACCUAAUUACCGGCAUUUAAAUUCUUUCUGUUUGAAACACCUAGAGUAGUUACUGUUUCCUUUAUUGAAUGCCAGCUGAUGUCAAAGGCAGACAAAACCAGAUGGUGGUUAAAGGUGAUAAAGACAGAUUUUGUUCAGUACUCUUGUAAUAGGGGAGAAUAGCCAAUGUAACCUGAGCUCAACUCUGCUGCAACAAAAGGUGGGGCACUUUUUAAAUACUGGGGUGUGCUGAAGAAAAGACACUGAUGAGUGUUAAGGGGCAUAUGGUCUGUGUCACUAGGUUAUCUAGGUUUGCUACUUGGUGCUUAUCUGGAGGAGAAACAAACUUCUUACAUCUUUAUGACAGGGGAAGUUGUGCAAGCUGGGGCAAGGGGCUGCAGAUGUUAUGCCCUUACCUUCACACUGAGAGGAAGAGUUAUCUUCCUAAUGUUUGCAUUUCAGAGAGAUGGCUCCCAGGUCCUUGAGGAGACAGUUUUGCGUGAUAGAAGAUUUAUAUCUCAAGGGCAGAGAAAGGAUUUAUAAUUGCAAGCUUUCGCAGGCAGACAUUUUAAGAGGGAGCUGAGGUCAUCUUAGGGACGAAAUCUUAAUCUGCUAGAAGUCAUACUAGGGUUUGGUCAAGAACAGAGUCUGUCAUGAAUGUACCUGAGAUCAUGAGAUUUUGCUUGAAUUACUUUGGGAAUAUACCAUACCUCACAAGGCAUGGUAUAUAGAACUUGAUUUCAGCAGUCAUCUUUUUUGAAAAUGACUACCAGAGAAUCAGUGUGACCCAAUUUCCAAGACCAAGAGGCACCUGGAGUGAGAAGCUUUGGUGUACAUAUUUACAAAUAUAAAACAGUCUUUUCUUUUUGUGUUGCUAGGAAUAGCCUUUUCUAUUUGUAAUAAAAACAGCUGUUCUUUUUCUACUGGGUUUUGAAAAGAUAUUUACUUCAAUCUUUUUUUUUUUGAGACAGAGUCUUGCUGGACUCUGGAGCGCAGUGGUACCAUCUCGGCUUACUGCAACCUCUGCCUCCCUGGUUCAAGCGAUUCUCUUACUUUAGCCUCCUGAGUAGCUGGGAUUACAGGCACGUGCCACCAUACCUGGCUGAUUUUUGUAUUUUUAGUAGCGAUGGGGUUUCACCAUGUUGGCCAGGCUGAUCUUGAACUCCUGGCCUCAAGUGAUCCACCUGCUUUGGCCUCCCAAAAUGUUGGGAUUACAGGCAUGAGCCACUGUGCUGGCCUACUUUAAUCUUUAUCACCUCAAUUUCUACUCAUCCACAUCCAUUCCAACCAAGUAGAGAAGCAGCCAAGAAUGAUUAAAAUAUUAUAGCUUGUGAAUAUAAUGCAGACUGUGCAGGAUCUUGUUUGUGACCUGAAGAUUGAAAAGGGACCUAAGGCACUGCUGACCCUGGGACUAAGCCUCCACAUUAAGCUUCCUGGCAUUCUUUCUGAGUUUGGCCUGCUGGAGCUGGCCGAUCCUGUGUGCAUUUCUGAUCAACCAUCAAUAUUUCAAGGCCAAGAAUUUGGAGAUAGAGGUGAGGUUUAUUCCAAAUCUCUAAACCAUUUCCACUUAAUACUCAUUAUUGUAGAAGGAAAAAUUUAUUUGUUCUCUGAAAGAGGCACAAAGCACAUUUGAUUAUACCACUUUUCCUGACACUUAUUUUACUAGUAGAUCUGUUUUUAAAAAUAGAAAGCAAAUUAUUAUGCCUGAGUGACUUCAAAGCAUUCCCAUCAUUCCAAUUAGCAACCAUGUUGCUCCCAUGGAGGAGAGAGAGGGGCUGAGGGUAUGUGGGAGUGAAAAAGAGACAGGUAGGAGGAGAGAAAGCGUCAAAGAAAUGACAAGGAAGGGCAAGUUGCCAGGAGCUCAGUGGUUUGAAAUUCUAGCCGGGAUGCGUUCCUUAUUGUAGUUCCUCAACUAAAUGAAAGCUUGCUUGUCUUGGAAAGAAAAUUCAGAAGAUUACAUUCUUGAGGUACGAAGUAAAAGAUCAGACACACUCCAAGGUGAUUGGACUAGAAUCUACAGAAAAUAUUUUCAUAAAACAUUUUCCACAAUCAGUCCCUUUGUAAAAACAUGAUUUGGAGAGAGUGCUAUAAACAAAUAAAAAACACAAACAUUUCAAUAUUACUUUCUUCUUUAGUUUGUGUUAUUUUAAGGAGGGUGGAGAAUGAAAUAAUGUCUUCAGAAACAUAUUAAACAAGUCAGUUCAAGACAAUCUCUGGUGAGAACUAAAUUAUUUACUACCUUAAUUUUCAUAAGCUUUCUCACCAUGAGUUUCAUCUUCAUGUAUUAUGUUUUUGUUGGACGAAAAAAUUCAAGUAUUUUGUUUUUCUUUAUGCACACUUGAUUUCUGAAUUCUUUGUUUCUCCAUGUAAGAGAGUAAAAUGAUCCCCAAACUAAGCCAUUCUGCUAAGAACUUGGAAUGCCUUGUUUUGACUUCCUGUACUGAACUCUGUUUUAGUGUUCAGACUAAUUUCCUUUGAAGAAUGCUCCUCAGGCCUCAGUACUUUUCCUGAGUUUCUGAUGUGUCAAACUUAUUUUCUCACUUGACCUUAAGGAAUAUCUAGGCUUAUUGCUAAGAAUUACAGAUAACCCAGGAAUUUGCAAAUACUAUAAAUCAUGUAUACAAAAUGAAUCAUACUUACUCUGUAGAACUGCAUGGCUUAUCACCUAAUGCAUUUUAAAGCAUUGCUAUGUUUUCUUCUUUUCUUCCUUUCUCUCUCUGCUUUCCUUCUUUCACUCAUAUACAUAACAGUUACUAUCAGCCAGACUGAUAGUAGCUGGAGACAAUGAAAGGCAAAGCAGCAUUGAAAUAUCACUAGUAAAUCUGUAAGCUUUAUCAGAAAAAACAAAGGGUGGAGUCCAUAGACAUACCUAGUUACUGAAAAUCAAAUAUCAUAAGGAAAAUGUCAGUGGACAUAUAGCCCCAGAAACUGUGCUGAAAACAGCCAUCAUUUGAAAAUAGAGAAUAUGUCUUUUAUAAGAUCUUCCUAGCAUAAGAGGUACGUUUGUGAAUAUCAUGACUGGAACACAUUUUCAGCUAAGUAAAAGGUGACGCUUCUUUCUUCCUCCCCUUCUCUCUCCACUAACCCCACUAACUUAAUAGUUAACCCCAUUAACUCCCUUAAAUUUGCCCAUUACCACUGACUUUGAAGGAAGGUUUUGUCUUAGUUAUGAUCCCUCAAAAGCAGAACCAGAAAGCAGUACUUGGAGGUGGGUAGUUUAUCUGGGAGGAUUCCAGGAUGCACAAAGGAAGGAGCUAAGAAAGUGAGUGAAGACAGGGAGUGUGGACCUAGAACAAACAAAAAGGUCAAAAUCUAGUUCAAAGAGCGUGUAUUCAAGCCUAAAGUUUGAGAAGGGCCACCCAGGAGCAUAGAUUCAAGUUGCCCAGGAUAUACAUUUUGGUUAGCAGCCUUUACAAGUGGGUUUUUAAGGAAAAAGAAGAGGCAGUUCCUAAGUUGUUUACCAAGAUUUACAUUAAGAUUACUAAAGCUAGUGGUUGGCUGUACAUUGUUCUUUGUAUCACAUAUUCCAGGAAUUGGAAGACUGUGGGUGAGACCCCUAGUCACGAAAAAAAUGCUUUUAAACAAUUGCCUCCAGGCAUGGGUUCAGGCGCUGGACAGAACCAUGUUUCUUAGUGCCUGGUAAAUUUUGUAUACCCCAGGUAGCUCAGACAGCUCUGAGCUAUUUUUCUUUUCUCAGGAGAAAAGCCACUUGAGGGUGCAUUCAUAGAGGUGGAUUACCUGUGUAGGAAAUAGGGUUCUGUCUAGCUGGGGACACACUCAGGAACUUAGACUUGUUCUGCUGAGGGGCAAGGAAAUUGUGGUAUUUAUCUACCUACUCCCUCUCCUCAUUGGUUGAGGGUUGCUCUUUGUGUGGAAUUCCUAGCACUUCCAGAUUGCUGACAAGUAUGGAUUGAGAGAACCUUGCUUAUAGUAGCUUUGCACCAUAUUAGCAGGAAUAGGAACUGCAAAGCACAUCCAAAGUGGAAUAAAGUUAAGAAUUUUACACUGCCAACUGUGCACGCAAGUAGCCUAAGCAAUCUCUCCUAGGGGAGACAGAGCCCGCAGGUGGAGAGAUAGGGAAGAGUAUUUGAGGUGGGAAGUUAUCAACGUGCUCAUUGUCCAUGACAGCUACAGGAACUCAGAGUUGAGGCUGAGGGGAUACGGGAGGGAGUGUGGCAACAGCAUCUGCUGUGGUCCUUCAAAUGUUUAGAUUUUUCCCUUGGCAGAACUUGAACUAUAUUAAGAUUGAUGCUUCAAAGCCCCCUUAGUGGUUACUCUUGCUGGUAGUAAGUCUGCACAUGCUAGGUGAAAUGUGCAUUCAUAUAUUGAACAUACAUGCUCUAAGUCUGCACAUGUUAGGUGAAGUGUGCCUUCAUAUAUUGGAACAGUUGUAGAGACAACUAUAAAAGUUUCCCAGUCUGAGCAGUAUGGGGAGGGUCAGGUCUUUAUCUCCCAGAGCUCAUCACCACCCUCAGUGCAGUCUGCCAGCAUCUCACUCCUUUAAGAAUCUCAUUUUCAGAGAAGUAUACUGCAAUGGUUAGUGAAAUUAUUCUCUGUAAAACUGCUUAGAGAUUCUUACAGGAACUAUUACCCCUCUAUUAAAAACAGUGAGAAAAACUUUAAAAAAUAAUAUUUCCUUGGC